Molecule: ribosomal RNA, 442 nt
Filed under: uncultured bacterium
Lineage: Bacteria
Description: partial 16S ribosomal RNA
Rfam family: Bacterial small subunit ribosomal RNA
Source: RNAcentral
GAUGAACGCUGGCGGCAUGCCUAACACAUGCAAGUCGAUCGGUAAGGCUCUUCGGAGUACACGAGAGGCGGACGGCUGAGUAACGCGUAGGAACACACCCUGCAGUGAGGGAUAAGACACCGAAAGGUGUUCUAAUACCGCAUACGGUCUUCGGAUUAAAGCAUUUAUGCGCUGAAGGAGUGGCCUGCGUCAUAUUAGAUAGUUGGUGAGGUAAUGGCUCACCAAGUCGAUGAUGUGUAGCUGGUCUGAGAGGAUGAUCAGCCAGACUGGAACUGAGACACGGUCCAGACUCCUACGGGAGGCAGCAGUGAGGAAUAUGUCACAAUGAGCGAAAGCUUGAUGGAGCAAUGCCGCGUGCAGGAUGAAGGCCCUCGGGUUGUAAACUGCUUUUAGAAGAGAAGAUUAUGACGGUAACUUAUGAAUAAGGGACGGCUAACUACGU